RNAcentral lists this ribosomal RNA (454 nucleotides) under uncultured bacterium. RNAcentral's name for it is "bacterial SSU rRNA". It matches the Rfam family "Bacterial small subunit ribosomal RNA", at positions 1 to 507 of the family's 1533-position model. The record is from RNAcentral.
ACGAGUUUGAUCCUGGCUCAGAACGAACGCUGGCGGCAUGCCUAACACAUGCAAGUCGAACGAAGCCUUCGGGCUUAGUGGCGCACGGGUGCGUAACGCGUGGGAACCUACCAUCAGGUUCGGAAUAACAGUUAGAAAUGACUGCUAAUACCGGAUAAUGUCUUCGGACCAAAGAUUUAUCGCCUUUUGAUGGGCCCGCGUUGGAUUAGCCAGUUGGUGGGGUAAAGGCCUACCAAGGCGACGAUCCAUAGCUGGUCUGAGAGGAUGAUCAGCCACACUGGGACUGAGACACGGCCCAGACUCCUACGGGAGGCAGCAGUGGGGAAUAUUGGACAAUGGGCGAAAGCCUGAUCCAGCAAUGCCGCGUGAGUGAUGAAGGCCUUAGGGUUGUAAAGCUCUUUUACCAGGGAUGAUAAUGACAGUACCUGGAGAAUAAGCUCCGGCUAACUCCGUG